GGGUUGUGAGGUUAAGCGACUAAGCGUACACGGUGGAUGCCCUGGCAGUCAGAGGCGAUGAAGGACGUGCUAAUCUGCGAAAAGCGUCGGUAAGGUGAUAUGAACCGUUAUAGCCGGCGAUGUCCGAAUGGGGAAACCCAGUGCAAUUCGUUGCACUAUCGUUAACUGAAUACAUAGGUUAACGAGGCGAACCGGGGGAACUGAAACAUCUAAGUACCCCGAGGAAAAGAAAUCAACCGAGAUUCCCCCAGUAGCGGCGAGCGAACGGGGAGCAGCCCAGAGUCUGAAUCAGCUUGUGUGUUAGUGGAACGGUCUGGAAAGUCCGACGGUACAGGGUGAUAGUCCCGUACACCAAAAUGCACAGGUUGUGAACUCGAAGAGUAGGGCGGGACACGUGGUAUCCUGUCUGAAUAUGGGGGGACCAUCCUCCAAGGCUAAAUACUCCUGACUGACCGAUAGUGAACCAGUACCGUGAGGGAAAGGCGAAAAGAACCCCGGCGAGGGGAGUGAAAAAGAACCUGAAACCGUGUACGUACAAGCAGUGGGAGCACCUUCGGGUGUGACUGCGUACCUUUUGUAUAAUGGGUCAGCGACUUAUAUUCUGUAGCAAGGUUAACCGUAUAGGGGAGCCGCAGGGAAACCGAGUCUUAACUGGGCGUUAAGUUGCAGGGUAUAGACCCGAAACCCGGUGAUCUAGCCAUGGGCAGGUUGAAGGUUGGGUAACACUAACUGGAGGACCGAACCGACUAAUGUUGAAAAAUUAGCGGAUGACUUGUGGCUGGGGGUGAAAGGCCAAUCAAACCGGGAGAUAGCUGGUUCUCCCCGAAAGCUAUUUAGGUAGCGCCUCGUGAACUCAUCUUCGGGGGUAGAGCACUGUUUCGGCUAGGGGGUCAUCCCGACUUACCAACCCGAUGCAAACUACGAAUACCGAAGAAUGUUAUCACGGGAGACACACGGCGGGUGCUAACGUCCGUCGUGAAGAGGGAAACAACCCAGACCGCCAGCUAAGGUCCCAAAGUCAUGGUUAAGUGGGAAACGAUGUGGGAAGGCACAGACAGCCAGGAUGUUGGCUUAGAAGCAGCCAUCAUUUAAAGAAAGCGUAAUAGCUCACUGGUCGAGUCGGCCUGCGCGGAAGAUGUAACGGGGCUAAACCAUGCACCGAAGCUGCGGCAGCGACACUAUGUGUUGUUGGGUAGGGGAGCGUUCUGUAAGCCUGCGAAGGUGACCUGUGAGGGUUGCUGGAGGUAUCAGAAGUGCGAAUGCUGACAUAAGUAACGAUAAAGCGGGUGAAAAGCCCGCUCGCCGGAAGACCAAGGGUUCCUGUCCAACGUUAAUCGGGGCAGGGUGAGUCGACCCCUAAGGCGAGGCCGAAAGGCGUAGUCGAUGGGAAACAGGUUAAUAUUCCUGUACUUGGUGUUACUGCGAAGGGGGGACGGAGAAGGCUAUGUUAGCCGGGCGACGGUUGUCCCGGUUUAAGCAUGUAGGCGGAUUGUCCAGGCAAAUCCGGAUAAUCAAGGCUGAGGUGUGAUGACGAGGCACUACGGUGCUGAAGUAACAAAUGCCCUGCUUCCAGGAAAAGCCUCUAAGCAUCAGGUAACAUAUCGUACCCCAAACCGACACAGGUGGUCAGGUAGAGAAUACCAAGGCGCUUGAGAGAACUCGGGUGAAGGAACUAGGCAAAAUGGUGCCGUAACUUCGGGAGAAGGCACGCUGGUGUGUAGGUGUGGAGCUGAGACCAGUCGAAGAUACCAGCUGGCUGCAACUGUUUAUUAAAAACACAGCACUGUGCAAACACGAAAGUGGACGUAUACGGUGUGACGCCUGCCCGGUGCCGGAAGGUUAAUUGAUGGGGUUAUCCGUAAGGAGAAGCUCUUGAUCGAAGCCCCGGUAAACGGCGGCCGUAACUAUAACGGUCCUAAGGUAGCGAAAUUCCUUGUCGGGUAAGUUCCGACCUGCACGAAUGGCGUAAUGAUGGCCAGGCUGUCUCCACCCGAGACUCAGUGAAAUUGAACUCGCUGUGAAGAUGCAGUGUACCCGCGGCAAGACGGAAAGACCCCGUGAACCUUUACUAUAGCUUGACACUGAACAUUGAGCCUUGAUGUGUAGGAUAGGUGGGAGGCUUUGAAGCGUGGACGCCAGUCUGCGUGGAGCCAACCUUGAAAUACCACCCUUUAAUGUUUGAUGUUCUAACGUUGGCCCCUUACCGGGGUUGCGGACAGUGUCUGGUGGGUAGUUUGACUGGGGCGGUCUCCUCCCAAAGCGUAACGGAGGAGCACGAAGGUUAGCUAAUCCUGGUCGGACAUCAGGAGGUUAGUGCAAUGGCAUAAGCUAGCUUGACUGCGAGCGUGACGGCGCGAGCAGGUGCGAAAGCAGGUCAUAGUGAUCCGGUGGUUCUGAAUGGAAGGGCCAUCGCUCAACGGAUAAAAGGUACUCCGGGGAUAACAGGCUGAUACCGCCCAAGAGUUCAUAUCGACGGCGGUGUUUGGCACCUCGAUGUCGGCUCAUCACAUCCUGGGGCUGAAGUAGGUCCCAAGGGUAUGGCUGUUCGCCAUUUAAAGUGGUACGCGAGCUGGGUUUAGAACGUCGUGAGACAGUUCGGUCCCUAUCUGCCGUGGGCGCUGGAGAAUUGAGGGGGGCUGCUCCUAGUACGAGAGGACCGGAGUGGACGCAUCACUGGUGUUCGGGUUGUCAUGCCAAUGGCACUGCCCGGUAGCUAAAUGCGGAAGAGAUAAGUGCUGAAAGCAUCUAAGCACGAAACUUGCCCCGAGAUGAGUUCUCCCUGAGACUUUAAGUCUCCUGAAGGAACGUUAAAGACGAUGACGUUGAUAGGCCGGGUGUGUAAGCGCAGCGAUGCGUUGAGCUAACCGGUACUAAUGAACCGUGAGGCUUAACCUUACAACGCCGAAG
This 2907-nucleotide ribosomal RNA is filed under the name Klebsiella pneumoniae subsp. pneumoniae. RNAcentral's name for it is "bacterial LSU rRNA". It matches the Rfam family "Bacterial large subunit ribosomal RNA". Lineage: Bacteria; Pseudomonadati; Pseudomonadota; Gammaproteobacteria; Enterobacterales; Enterobacteriaceae. The record is from RNAcentral.